GGGCUUAGAGUUUGAUCAUGGCUCAGGACGAACGCUGGCGGCGAGCCUAACACAUGCAAGUCGAACGGAGAUUUGAGAGCUUGCUUUCAAAUCUUAGUGGCGGACGGGUGAGUAACGCGUGAGUAACCUGCCUCUCAGAGGGGGAUAACAUUCUGAAAAGAAUGCUAAUACCGCAUGACAUUCCUUUCUCGCAUGGGAAGGGAAUCAAAGGAGCAAUCCGCUGAGAGAUGGACUCGCGUCCGAUUAGCCAGUUGGCGGGGUAACGGCCCACCAAAGCGACGAUCGGUAGCCGGACUGAGAGGUUGAACGGCCACAUUGGGACUGAGACACGGCCCAGACUCCUACGGGAGGCAGCAGUGGGGGAUAUUGCACAAUGGGGGAAACCCUGAUGCAGCAACGCCGCGUGAAGGAAGAAGGUCUUCGGAUUGUAAACUUUUGUCCUCAGUGAAGAUAAUGACGGUAGCUGAGGAGGAAGCUCCGGCUAACUACGUGCCAGCAGCCGCGGUAAUACGUAGGGAGCGAGCGUUGUCCGGAUUUACUGGGUGUAAAGGGUGCGUAGGCGGACUGGCAAGUCAGUGGUGAAAACUAUGGGCUUAACCCAUAGACUGCCAUUGAAACUGUUGGUCUUGAGUGAAGUAGAGGUAGGCG
This 648-nucleotide ribosomal RNA is filed under the name uncultured organism. Its description in RNAcentral is "bacterial SSU rRNA". It matches the Rfam family "Bacterial small subunit ribosomal RNA", at positions 1 to 663 of the family's 1533-position model. The record is from RNAcentral.